This 733-nucleotide ribosomal RNA is filed under the name Bacillus mycoides. RNAcentral describes it as "bacterial SSU rRNA". It matches the Rfam family "Bacterial small subunit ribosomal RNA", at positions 44 to 752 of the family's 1533-position model. The record is from RNAcentral. Lineage: Bacteria; Bacillati; Bacillota; Bacilli; Caryophanales; Bacillaceae.
GUGCCUAAUACAUGCAAGCCCGAGCGAAUGAAAUUAAGAGCUUGCUCUUAUUCCCGUUAGCGGAGGACGGGUGAGUAACACGUGGGUAACCUGCCCAUAAGACUGGGAUAAUUCCGGGAAACCGGGGCUAAUACCGGAUAACAUUUUGCACCGCAUGGUGCGAAAUUCAAAGGCGGCUUCGGCUGUCACUUAUGGAUGGACCCGCGUCGCAUUAGCUAGUUGGUGAGGUAACGGCUCACCAAGGCAACGAUGCGUAGCCGACCUGAGAGGGUGAUCGGCCACACUGGGACUGAGACACGGCCCAGACUCCUACGGGAGGCAGCAGUAGGGAAUCUUCCGCAAUGGACGAAAGUCUGACGGAGCAACGCCGCGUGAGUGAUGAAGGCUUUCGGGUCGUAAAACUCUGUUGUUAGGGAAGAACAAGUGCUAGUUGAAUAAGCUGGCACCUUGACGGUACCUAACCAGAAAGCCACGGCUAACUACGUGCCAGCAGCCGCGGGAAUACGUAGGUGGCCAGCGUUAUCCGGAAUUAUUGGGCGUAAAGCGCGCGCAGGUGGUUUCUUAAGUCUGAUGUGCAAGCCCCCGGCCUCACCGUGGAGGGUCAUUGGAAACUGGGAGACUUGAGUGCAUAAGAGGAAAGUGGAAUUCCAUGGUGUAGCGGGCGAAAUGCGUAGAGAUAUGGAGGGAACACCAGUGGCGAAGCGACUUUCUGGUCUGUAACUGAAACUGAGGC